Molecule: ribosomal RNA, 468 nt
Filed under: uncultured bacterium
Lineage: Bacteria
Description: partial 16S ribosomal RNA
Rfam family: Bacterial small subunit ribosomal RNA
Source: RNAcentral
GACGAACGCUGGCGGCGUGCUUAACACAUGCAAGUCGAACGGAAAGGCCCUGCUUUUGUGGGGUGCUCGAGUGGCGAACGGGUGAGUAACACGUGAGUAACCUGCCCUUGACUUUGGGAUAACUUCAGGAAACUGGGGCUAAUACCGGAUAGGAGCUCCUGCUGCAUGGUGGGGGUUGGAAAGUUUCGGCGGUUGGGGAUGGACUCGCGGCUUAUCAGCUUGUUGGUGGGGUAGUGGCUUACCAAGGCUUUGACGGGUAGCCGGCCUGAGAGGGUGACCGGCCAAAUUGGGACUGAGAUAAGGCCCAGACUCCUACGGGAGGCAGCAGUGGGGAAUAUUGCACAAUGGGCGGAAGCAUGAUGCAGCAAAGCCGCGUGCGGGAUGACGGCCUUCGGGUUGUAAACCGCUUUCGCCUGUGACGAAGCGUGAGUGACGGUAAUGGGUAAAGAAGCACCGGCUAACUACGUG